This 232-nucleotide ribosomal RNA is filed under the name uncultured bacterium. Its description in RNAcentral is "partial 16S ribosomal RNA". It matches the Rfam family "Bacterial small subunit ribosomal RNA", at positions 99 to 334 of the family's 1533-position model. The record is from RNAcentral.
CGACCGGGUGAGUAACACGUAGACGACCGACCACUAAGUGGGGGACAACAGCCCGAAAGGGUUGCUAAUACCGCAUAAUGUACAUCAUUCGCUUGAUGUCAGAAAGUAGCAAUACGCUUUAUGGAGGGUCUGCGGCCCAUCAGGUAGUUGGCGGGGUAACGGCCCACCAAGCUAAUGACGGGUAGGGGGUGUGAGAGCAUGACCCCCCACACUGGCACUGAGAACGGGCCAG